This 182-nucleotide unclassified non-coding RNA is filed under the name uncultured fungus. RNAcentral describes it as "sequence contains ITS1". The record is from RNAcentral. Lineage: Eukaryota; Fungi.
UCGAGUGUUUAAACCAUUUCUUUAGGAAGUGGUUACCUCCCGUCCUUUGCUGAUGGCCCCCCUUUUUUUUAGGGGGGCUUUUUCAGAAAACCUUCUGCUUCGGUGUGGUUUAUACCCACCGGAACACCCUCAAAAAUUCUCUUUUAAAAACUGUUCAGUCCGAGAAAAUUUUAAAAUUGAAA